CAACAACAGAUUCCAAGAGCUGCACAUAAGUCACCUUUGCACUUGCUGAGCCCACACGGUCAUUUCUGCAGACAGAUCUAAGGCCCUUUGUAUACUGUAAGGACAUGGAAGGUGCUGCUGGGAGCCCAGGCUGGCCACAGCAGGCUGUCAACCUCAACGAGGAAGAAGGGACACCUGAGAACCUUCAAAGGCGACACUGGAAUCCCGGUGGGACAAGCCACUGCUGAACUGCCACACCCAGAAUUCACCCAGGACAUGCGACUCAUGUUGCAGGCCUCUACUUGAUGCUCUCUGCCUGCAAUGCCACAGUUCCAGCUCCCUCUGCACUUCCCAGACCCUGCUGUGUGUGUCUGUGUGCACAUAUUACCUGCCUGUUCCUAGAUCAUGCACCUGUGCUCACCAAGUGCUCUGGAUGAAAUCAACAUUUCAUAAAUAUGUGAAGGAUCUGCUUUACAUCCUCUCUAGGCGACAUGAAAUUCCUAACUCAGUGUGAAUACUAUGCAUGGCUGUCCUGCGUUGUCCAGGAAGGAAUGAC
Molecule: long non-coding RNA, 535 nt
Filed under: Heterocephalus glaber (naked mole-rat)
Lineage: Eukaryota; Metazoa; Chordata; Mammalia; Rodentia; Bathyergidae
Description: lncRNA (ENSHGLG00100050025.1)
Source: RNAcentral